GUGGGUAUAGUUUAACUCAAAACAUUACGCUGUGGACAUAAAAAUAGGGCUCCCCCUCCCCCUUGCCCACC
Molecule: transfer RNA, 71 nt
Filed under: Tropiocolotes tripolitanus
Lineage: Eukaryota; Metazoa; Chordata; Lepidosauria; Squamata; Gekkonidae
Description: tRNA-His
Source: RNAcentral